GACGAACGCUGGCGGCGUGCUUAACACAUGCGAGUCGAACGGAAAGGCCCUGCUUUUGUGGGGUGCUCGAGUGGCGAACGGGUGAGUAACACGUGGGUAACCUGCCCUUGACUUUGGGAUAACUUCAGGAAACUGGGGCUAAUACCGGAUAGGAGCUCCUGCUGCAUGGUGGGGGUUGGAAAGUUUCGGCGGUUGGGGAUGGACUCGCGGCUUAUCAGCUUGUUGGUGGGGUAGUGGCUUACCAAGGCUUUGACGGGUAGCCGGCCUGAGAGGGUGACCGGCCACAUUGGGACUGAGAUACGGCCCAGACUCCUACGGGAGGCAGCAGUGGGGAAUAUUGCACAAUGGGCGGAAGCCUGAUGCAGCAACGCCGCGUGCGGGAUGACGGCCUUCGGGUUGUAAACCGCUUUCGCCUGUGACGAAGCGUGAGUGACGGUAAUGGGUAAAGAAGCACCGGCUAACUACGUG
Molecule: ribosomal RNA, 468 nt
Filed under: uncultured bacterium
Lineage: Bacteria
Description: partial 16S ribosomal RNA
Rfam family: Bacterial small subunit ribosomal RNA
Source: RNAcentral